This 460-nucleotide ribosomal RNA is filed under the name soil fungal sp. DM2-221. Its description in RNAcentral is "eukaryotic LSU rRNA". It matches the Rfam family "Eukaryotic large subunit ribosomal RNA", at positions 544 to 1012 of the family's 3401-position model. Lineage: Eukaryota; Fungi. The record is from RNAcentral.
GGGAAUGUGGCUCCUCNGGGAGUGUUAUAGCCCGUUGCAUAAUNCCUUGCGGUGGANUGAGGACCGNGCAUCUGCAAGGAUGCUGGCGUAAUGGUCACCAGCGACCGGUCUUGAAACACGGACCAAGGAGUCGUCUUCGUAUGCGAGUGUUCGGGUGUCAAACCCCUACGAGUAAUGAAAGUGAACGCAGGUGAGAGUUUCGGCGCAUCAUCGACGGAUCCUGAUGUUUUCGGAUGGAUUUGAGUAAGAGCAUUUGGGCCCGGACCCGAAAGAAGGUGAACUAUGCCUGUAUAGGGUGAAGCCAGAGGAAACUCCGGUGGAGGCUCGCAGCGGAUCUGACGUGCAAAUCCAUCGUCAAAUAUGGGCAUGGGGGNGAAAGACUAAUCGAACCUUCUAGUAGCUGGUUUCCGCCGAAGUUUCCCUCAGGAUAGCAGUGUUGAGGUCAGUUUUAUCAGGUAAA